Molecule: long non-coding RNA, 701 nt
Organism: Juglans regia (Persian walnut)
Lineage: Eukaryota; Viridiplantae; Streptophyta; Magnoliopsida; Fagales; Juglandaceae
Exons: 6
Source: RefSeq, a predicted model, not a curated record
UCGGCUCUAUGUCGACACACCCAGCAGCUUUCUCCUGUUUCCUCUCUAGCACUAGAUCACUACCAGGCAAAAUCUAUGCCACAAGCCCAAACGUCCACACGGCCGGGUAUGACCUAAGAGUUUUGGGUGGUAUCUACUUAUACUUGCCGACUUGGUCUCCAUGGUAGUGGGGUAUUGUGUUGUAGGAGAUCGUAUAUUCAUGCCGCCUAGUACUCGCCUAUGCCGUUUGCUCGCCGAGCUAUAAAGUAUUUAGGUUCGCUGUGUGUAGCCUGAGCUUUGGGUUGCAUUUAUCGUCUAUACUUGAAUGUGUCAUUCAUGAUACGACGUCUACCUCCGUUGCAGUAUGACUUCAUCAUAUUGGACCCCGACCCACCAUUGCCAUUUGCCAUAGUCAUAUGCGCACUUCAAGCCUCAAUCCUAAUUCCAAGCCGAAAUUCAAAUGAUAUAUUAUCAAUGUCGCAUCUUGAUCCUCAUCUCAUCUUGAUUUUAUAAUCUCACGACUCACAGCAGGCAGUACUAAAUUCUAUUUCCACCCUUGGCCACCCGCCCCAAAUGUCAAAUUUAAAGUUUAAAGCUUCUCAUUGUCACUUUUAUUAUUUAUGUUCAAUUGUAUUUAUAUUUUACAUAUUCAAUUCUUUGUAAUGCUGAUACAAUCACAAUGUCCCUUUUAUGUUUGUAAUUCUAUAAUUAUUCUCUCUUAA